AUGAACGGAAUUGUUUGCCCAACAGACCGGUGCAACGCUCUCCGGGACAGUGUAAGGCCUUUUUGUCUAAAAAAAUUCAUUGUAGUGCUUUCAGGUGUCAUAAAUUUGUUCCUGUUUUGCCACCUCCUCCGCCACUUUCACCGCCCUUGCCUGCCCCUCCGCCACCUGUUUAUUCGCCUCCGCCACCAGUUUAUACUCCUCCUUCUCCUUCCCCACCACCUCCUCCACCUCCAGUUUAUUCACCACCGCCACCACCACCCUCUCCACCUCCUCCAUCACCUCCCCCGCCUCCACCACCAGUCUAUUCACCUCCACCCCCACCUCCAUCUCCUCCUCCACCAUCACCUCCACCACCACCCCCGCCAUCUCCACCUCCACCACCAGUUUAUUCAUCACCACCACCGCCACCAUCUCCCCCUCCACCAUCACCUCCACCUCCUCCCCCACCCGUUUAUUCGCCACCACCAUCUCCACCUCCUCCAUCACCAUUGCCUUAUUGUAUACGCUCACCUCCACCACCAAAUUCCCCACCUCCUAAUUCUCCACCUCCACCGCUUGCUCACUCGCCUCCACCCCCUUCACCUUACUAUUACAAUUCACCACCACCUCCGCCCCCAAAUUCGCCUCCUCCUCCACCAGUAUACAUAUACUCAUCACCUCCGCCACCAAAUUCACCUCCUCCUCCACCGCCAACAUACGUAUAUUCUUCACCUCCUCCACCUCCUUCCCCAUUGCCUUGUAUAGAACCCCCUCCACCACCUCCUCCUUGCAUUGAACCACCCCCACCCCCCUCCCCUUCACCAUCUCCUCCUCCACCACCGGUUUAUCAUUACAAUUCUCCGCCCCCACCAUCUCCAUCACCUCCACCACCAGUUUAUUAUCAUUACAAUUCUCCGCCCCCACCAUCUCCAUCACCUCCACCACCAGUUUAUUAUUACAAUUCUCCACCACCACCAUCACCACCGCCUACUCCAGUAUACGAAGGGCCAUUACCACCAGUAAUAGGAGUUCAAUAUGCUUCACCACCUCCACCACCCUUUUAUUAAUUCUUUCAGAAAUUUCACUAACUCUUAUCCUCAGAGCACAAAAUAGUUCCUACAAUUAUUAUUUC
This 1111-nucleotide long non-coding RNA is filed under the name Solanum tuberosum (potato). RNAcentral's name for it is "long non-coding RNA (STUB_LNC011165)". The record is from RNAcentral. Lineage: Eukaryota; Viridiplantae; Streptophyta; Magnoliopsida; Solanales; Solanaceae.